GCAGCAGGCGCGCAAAUUACCCACUCUCAGCACAGAGGAGGUAGUGACGAAAAAUAACGAGACCGUACUCGAUGAGGCCGGUUAUCGGAAUGGGUAAAAUUUAAACCCGUUAACGAGGAUCUAUGAGAGGGCAAGUCUGGUGCCAGCAGCCGCGGUAAUUCCAGCUCUCAAAGUGUAUAUCGGCAUUGCUGCGGUUAAAAAGCUCGUAGUUGGAUUUCAGCCUUACGACGUGGUCCAUUCAUUGAAUGCGAACUACGCCUCGUAGGCUAUUUUGAUGUUGGUUUUUCCUUAUGUUGCUCUCAUCGGCUGCGUAAGGUGGCUAACGAGUUUACCUUGAAAAAAUUAGAGUGCUCAACGCGGGCUAACGCCUGAAUACUCGUGCAUGGAAUAAUGGAAUAGGAUCUCGGUUCUAUUUUGUUGGUUUUCUGAUCUGAGAUAAUGGUUAAGAGGGACAGACGGGGGCAUUCGUAUCGCUGCGUGAGAGGUGAAAUUCUUGGACCGUAGCGAGACGUCCCACUGCGAAAGCAUUUGCCAAGAAUGUCUUCAUUAAUCAAGAACGAAAGUCAGAGGUUCGAAGGCGAUCAGAUACCGCCCUAGUUCUGACCGUAAACGAUACCAACUAGCGUUCCGUCAGCAGUAAUUACGCCUUGACGGGCAGCUUUCCGGAAACGAAAGUUUUUCGGUUCCGGGGGAAGUAUGGUUGCAAAGCUGAAACUUAAAGAAAUUGACGGAAGGGCACCACCAGGAGUGGAGCCUGCGGCUUAAUUUGACUCAACACGGGAAAACUCACCUGGCCCGGACACCGUGAGGAUUGACAGAUUGAGAGCUCUUUCUUGAUUCGGUGGUUGGUGGUGCAUGGCCGUUCUUAGUUGGUGGAGUGAUUUGUCUGGUUUAUUCCGAUAACGAACGAGACUCUAGCCUGCUAAAUAGUCGGCGAAUAAUUUUAACGUUCGCACGACUUCUUAGAGGGACAAGCGGUUUUCAGCCGCAUGAAGUUGAGCAAUAACAGGUCUGUGAUGCCCUUAGACGUCCAGGGCUGCACGCGCGCUACACUGGAGGAAUCAACGUGCUAUGUCCGUUGUCGAAAGGCAACGGUAACCCAUUGAAAAUCCUCCGUGCUCGGAAUCGGGA
Molecule: ribosomal RNA, 1131 nt
Filed under: Philometra sp. QZKK-2021
Lineage: Eukaryota; Metazoa; Nematoda; Chromadorea; Rhabditida; Philometridae
Description: SSU rRNA
Rfam family: Eukaryotic small subunit ribosomal RNA
Source: RNAcentral